GUGCCAGCCGCCGCGGUAAUACAGAGGUGGCAAGCGUUGUUCGGAAUUACUGGGCGUAAAGGGCGAGUAGGCGGCCAACUAAGUCAGACGUGAAAUCCCCCGGCUUAACCUGGGAACUGCGUCUGAUACUGGAUGGCUUGAGUAUGGGAGAGGGAUGUGGAAUUCCAGGUGUAGCGGUGAAAUGCGUAGAUAUCUGGAGGAACACCGGUGGCGAAGGCGGCAUCCUGGACCAUAACUGACGCUGAAUCGCGAAAGCUAGGGGAGCAAACGGGAUUAGAUACCCCGGUAGUCCUAGCCCUAAACGAUGAAUACUUGGUGUGGCGGGUAUCGAUCCCUGCCGUGCCGAAGCUAACGCAUUAAGUAUUCCGCCUGGGGAGUACGGUCGCAAGGCUGAA
This 395-nucleotide ribosomal RNA is filed under the name uncultured bacterium. RNAcentral describes it as "bacterial SSU rRNA". It matches the Rfam family "Bacterial small subunit ribosomal RNA", at positions 505 to 898 of the family's 1533-position model. The record is from RNAcentral.